RNAcentral lists this ribosomal RNA (492 nucleotides) under uncultured bacterium. Its description in RNAcentral is "partial 16S ribosomal RNA". It matches the Rfam family "Bacterial small subunit ribosomal RNA", at positions 29 to 507 of the family's 1533-position model. The record is from RNAcentral.
AGUGAACGCUGGCGGUAGGCCUAACACAUGCAAGUCGAACGGCAGCACAGUAAGAGCUUGCUCUUACGGGUGGCGAGUGGCGGACGGGUGAGGAAUACAUCGGAAUCUACUUUUUCGUGGGGGAUAACGUAGGGAAACUUACGCUAAUACCGCAUACGACCUACCGGUGAAAGCAGGGGAUCUUCGGACCUUGCGCGAUUGAAUGAGCCGAUGUCGGAUUAGCUAGUUGGCGGGGUAAAGGCCCACAAAGGCGACGAUCCGUAGCUGGUCUGAGAGGAUGAUCAGCCACACGGGAACAGAAAAAGGGUCAAGACUACUAAGAGAGGCAGCAGUGGGGAAUGUUGGACAAUGGGCGCAAGCCUGAACGAAACAUACCGCGUGGGUGAAGAAGGCCUUCGGGUUGUAAAGACCUUUUGUUGGGAAAGAAAAGCAGCAGGUUAAUACCCCGCUGUUCUGACGGUACCCAAAGAAUAAGCACCGGCUAACUUCGUG